This 839-nucleotide small RNA is filed under the name Arabidopsis thaliana (thale cress). RNAcentral describes it as "ATSL170380". The record is from RNAcentral. Lineage: Eukaryota; Viridiplantae; Streptophyta; Magnoliopsida; Brassicales; Brassicaceae.
ACAAUUAAAUGCAAAAACGAAAUAGAUUAAGAGUAAUUAAGGUUUCAAGAUUCAUAAACACAAAGAAAAACUGAAAGAUAAAGCAUAGAUCCUUUGGACAAAUCCCAAAGUGAUCUAUUUAUACUAAAAUGUUGGAAACCCUAGAUUCACUAGAAGACAAGAGACUUGAGGCGGUUUGGGCGAAUACUCGAUCUUGGGGAUCGAGUAAAGAGGGUGCUGCAAAGUUUGCGCCUUUGUGUCUAUGCUCCAAGUGAUCAAUUGGUCGAGUAGAUGCUUCAUCCUCUCCUAUCCGUAUGCUCAAAUGUCUGGUUGAGUGGGGAAUGAGGAGGAUCCAAAGACGCUUUGAUAGUUCAACAAGUCUUGUAAAGAUGGUCACCCUUGGUCGAGUAAAUGGAUCGAGUAGUGGAUCGAGUAGGAGGGGCGAGUAGAUCAAUCUGCUGCUUCAUCUUAGGUUGCCUUGAUCGAGUAAGAGGGUCGAGUAAACUACAGCCUCCUUUGUAGCAUCCUAGAUCGAGUAAAGAGGUCGAGUAGAGUGAUGCCUCUUCUGUACCUGCCUGGAUCGAGUGAAUGGAUCGAGUAGAGUCCUUUUUAGCUCCUUCUGCACCUGAAAACACACCAAAACAUGCAAUGCAUAUGCAAGAUGAUCUUAGAUGCCUAAGUAUGCAAAAUAAGUUAAAAUGGUGCAAAAUGAUAUGAUACAAUGAGCAAAUGCAAAGGUAAAUGAUGAUAAACAUAUACCUAAGAGUAAAAUACAGUGUUAUCACCUAGUUGGGCCAAGGGACGGAUCUAGGAAGGGAGGUGUUGGGGAGCUGCCCCAGCGGCUUUCCUAAAUUUUUAUU